CCGUCAAAUCCAAUGUCUCAAGCUUUGGUCUGCGGGAAAUACUGUUUAACUAGAGAGUGGGAGACUGUCAGCGGUAUUCUGGUGGGUAGGGGCGAAAUCCUUUGAUCCCCGGAGGACCACCAGUGGCGAAGGCUGCUGACUAGCACACUGUCUGACGGUCAGGGACGAAAGCUGGGGUGACGAACCGGAUUAGAUACCCGGGUAUUCCCAGCUGUAAACGAUGCAUGCUAGGUUGUUGGGUUGCCCACGAGCCACCCCGUCGCCGCAGGGAAGCCGUUAAGCAUGCCGCCUGGGUAAGUACGAUCGCAAGAUUGAAACUUAAAGGAAUUGGCGGGGGAGCACCACCAGGCGUGAACGCUGCGGUUUAAUUGGAGUCAACGCCGGGAAUCUUACCGGAAGCGACAGCAGAGUGAAGCCCAGAUUGAAGAUCUUCCCAGACGAGCUGAGAGGAGGUGCAUGGCCGUCGCCAGUUCGUGCCGUGAGGUGUUCUCUUAAGUGAGAUAACGAACGAGACCCGUGCCACAUGUUGCCAUCAGAAUCUAAAGGAUUGCUGGGCACUCUUGUGGGACCGCACGCCGAUAAGGCUGAGGAAGGAGCGGGCAACGGCAGGUCAGUAUGCCCCGAAUCUCCCGGGCCACACGCGGGCUGCAAUGGUAUGGACAGAGGGCUGCAACCCCGAAAGGGGAAGCCAAUCCCUAAACCAUACCUCAGUUGGGAUUGAGGGUGCAACCCGCCCUCAUGAACAUGGAAUGCCUA
This 756-nucleotide ribosomal RNA is filed under the name uncultured crenarchaeote. Its description in RNAcentral is "bacterial SSU rRNA". It matches the Rfam family "Archaeal small subunit ribosomal RNA", at positions 542 to 1293 of the family's 1478-position model. Lineage: Archaea; Thermoproteati; Thermoproteota. The record is from RNAcentral.